RNAcentral lists this long non-coding RNA (3289 nucleotides) under Rattus norvegicus (Norway rat). Its description in RNAcentral is "long non-coding RNA NONRATT016926". Lineage: Eukaryota; Metazoa; Chordata; Mammalia; Rodentia; Muridae. The record is from RNAcentral.
CUGAGAAGUCAGAAGUUGACCAGGUAGAAGGAAAAGUUGUGUUGGGCCCAGAACCAAGAGAGCAUCAAUCCGUUCAGAGUAGCUUAACAAUGAGGUACAAAAGUGCAGUGUGUUUACUCAGAGACUCUGGGAUCGUAAACUCUUGAGCUCUGAAGUAGUAUUUAAAUAGCACUUUAGAGCAUCUAUUUGUGUUAAGAGUGCCUAAGAGCUUGGUAAACAUGGAGAAAUUUAGUUCUUGGUCCCAGCAUUAACACCCCUUUAUUUCUUUGCUGUCAGAUCAAUUCCUCUGCAGUUUCCUAGUUCUGUAAAGCUCUGACUCACACUUGUUACAUACUUAAGGAACUCCAAAAACAGCUUGGGAUGCUAGUGUUCUAGAGAAUCAAGUGAAUGCAGUUUUGUUGGUGGUGUUUUUCUCCCUCAGAAAGGAAGUCUCAUAGCCUAAAUGCCAUCUGUUAUAUUUGUCCAUAUUUAGUUUUUAAGGGACUGUAAAAGUGUGGGUGACUUAAAACAGCAGCUUGGUUCAUCAAAUUAAGUUUUAGGGAAUUAGAGCAGUACAGGGGAAAAUAUAAAUAUGGGCUGAAUUGAUUCUGUGUUUGUAUCCUCACAUAUUGGACUUCCUGGAAUUCAACUCAGAUUUAGAGCUGCCAUUUUUUUAUCAGUAAAAUGGGGAUAAGUAUGUCACCUGACAGGAGACUAGUCCACAGGUGUUACUUUGUGUUUUGUGCAUUUAGGCAAAGACCUGGCAUAUAGUAAACAUUUUGUAAGCACAGAUGCCCCUUUUCAUUCCCUGACACCAUGCAGUAUUCUGUUUCCAGCAAGAGUGCUGCUACUAAAGAUGGAUGCCCUUAGAUACAAGAGGAUUCACACUGUAAUAUUCACAGGAGCAAAGGCUACUUGUACCGUUGUCUAUUGUUUAGGCAUGUUCUUUUGUUUAAUAUUUUUGUUUUAAUGAGCUUUACUGUUUGGUUGGAUGUUUUGUUUAUUUGGUUUUGACUUAAAGUUAUGGGUUUAGUUUCCCCUCAGGUAAAGACCUAAGGAAAUUGUUAAGCAUAGAAGAAAACUCUUAGAAAGCCAAUUAAUUCAUGGUGCAAUUCACAGUUAUUUAAAUCAACCCUCAGCCCCUGAGCAUAAUUCAAUAGCACAGUAAUGAGUGGAAGUUGCGUAUAUUUGUGAAAUAAUAAACAAGGAGAUAUUUAUAGGCCCUCUACAAACUAAAAAAGAAGUAAAAUUUAGCCACCUUUGUCCUUAAAGUAAUCUAACUUACAAGGUUAUAGUUAAACAUUUUUUCAUGGUGCUAAUCAAAAAAAUUCACGUUGCAAGAGAUGAGGUUCUUAAAAUGAGAAUGUACCUCACACUGACAGACAAGGAAAAUAAGCCUAAGGCCAGCAUCCCCAGAUUGCUACAGCCCAUCCUCCCAAUCGGGUACCUUCCAAACAGGAGCAAAAGGAAGCCAGCAUUAGUUAGGAAGGAUGGUUCUGAGGUGAAGUAGCAGGGAGAAGGUGAGAGGAUCGGACAGACUUGCUUAUGCAGAGAGGUCUCAAGACAGCUGUGCUUUGUCACACACCAUUCCAACACCUGAAACUUUGAAAUGAAUUGUCUAGCUGCACAAGCCAGAGUGCAGAGCUGUGGAGGGGAGCAUGGCUGACAGGCAGGUGUGCUCCAAGCUCUCUGCUUCCCUGUGCACUUGUUGCACCAUAAAACUCUGAUGUUAAAAAAGUUCCACACCUGCCUUCCUCACUUUGUCCUAAUUGGAAUGUCGGCAAAGUACAAGACUUCAAACCAGCAGUCUCGGCACUGCUGGGAACUUGUUGAAAAUGCUAAUUGAUGCUUUCAAAUAUUCUACCUUAUUUAUACUUCUGUCUACACGGGCCUGUGGAUUAGUAGUAUUAAUCUCCCCUGUGGCAGCCUUUUAAAUAUUUUUUUUUCUAUUUUUCGGAGCUGGGGACCGAACCUAGGGCCUUGCGCUUGCUAGGCAAGCGCUCCACCACUGAGCUAAAUCCCCAACCCCCUUUUUAAUAUUUUAAGACAAAAACUUAAUUUUACUUUCGUUACUAUGUCCUAACUAUUAAUUGUAAUUAUGUUAUUUUUAUAAUUUAUUUAUUUAGCAUGUAACUGUCACUUUGGAAUGUAGCCUUUCUAAGAUAGAGACUAUAAUUCUGUUAAUCAUAAAUUACUCUUAGCACUCAGCUCUUAUAUAUGCUAAAUAAAUACUUGUUGGGUAAAAGGGAAAAAUGCUAAUACCCGUGUCUUCCCCCACAAAACCUACUGAGCCAAAUUCUGGAAGCAGGGCCCCUCAGUUGUACAGUAAGCCAUUUGCAUGGUCCUGCAGUAGUCAGUUGUGAGAGGCACUGCAGAGCUGACAGAGGUGGACAUUCACCCUCAGGCGCCUACAAUUUGACAACACUUGAACAUUUCCCCUUGCCUCUGUAAGCCUUACCACCACUGUAACUGGCUGAGGUUCUUUCAGACCAGUCUAAGAAGUGGGUAUGAAGGUAGAAGGAUACAUUUAGUGUCAGUAAGGAAAGUAUUGCUUAGAACAGCAGGACCUGGGUGACACAGGUCUCUGGGAAUGUGGCCCCAUCGUCUAAAGCAGUGAGUGGUUCUCAACCCCUUUCUCGCCUGAAACCAUCAGAAAACACAUAUUUACAUUAUGAUUCAUAACAGUAGCGAAAUAAGUUAUGAAGUAGCAAUGAAAAUAAUUUUAUGGUUGGGGUCACCACAACAUGAGGAACUGGAUUAGAGGCCACAGCACCAGGAAGGCUAAGAACCGCAGCUUAAACAAAGAUGAGCUCUAACCACCAUACUUCCACACAGUGCCUUUGAAUUGGGGUUUAGCCUCGAGACACCCUGAGAAGCCAGUGAGGCCAUAUUAGACUAAUGUAUGUACACCUCUGUACCUCAGUCCCUAAGCUCACUUCUACGGCAGUAGACUUUUUAAGAAUUAUUAAUACUUUUUUAUUAAUACAAGUCAUAAUAAACUGACAAAAAAAUUUUAGAGGUAAAAAUAAAAACAUGGCGACAGUUCCAUCGUCUAAGAAGUGCUGUCUGAGGUGUGGCCUCCAGAUUCUCUGUACACUUACAGAUUUUUUUUAAUGGGGAUCAAAUUAUACAUGCUGUUUUGUAACUUUUUCACUCAACAGUGCCAUGCCUAUCUUACUGUGUCAUAUGUAUUUCUACAUCUUUUUUAAUGGAUGCAUGAUAUUUCUUCAUAUGUGCCACAUUUUGUUAAACUACUGUUGAAUUUUUAGGUUUCCAGUUUUUCACUAAUAAACUGCUUUGAAGAACACUG